This is a long non-coding RNA of Thalassophryne amazonica, 106 nucleotides long. RefSeq lists it as uncharacterized. Lineage: Eukaryota; Metazoa; Chordata; Actinopteri; Batrachoidiformes; Batrachoididae. The record is from RefSeq and is a predicted model, not a curated record. The transcript has 3 exons.
AACUUCUGGCAUGCAUUAAUUUUGUGAACUAGUCGUGAACAUUGUGCAACCUAUUUGAAAAUGCUGUGAGUCUCUGCGAGUCAAUGCGUCAGCACAGCCCCCCACA